AUUGAACGCUGGCGGCAGGCCUAACACAUGCAAGUCGAACGAGUGGCGGACGGGUGAGUAAUGUCUGUGAAACUGCCUGAUGGAGGGGGAUAACUACUGGAAACGGUAGCUAAUACCGCAUACCAUCGGAUGUUCCCAGAUGGGAUUAGCUAGUUGGUGGGGUAAGGGCUCACCCAGGCGACGAUCCCUAGCUGGUCUGAGAGGAUGACCAGCCACACUGGAACUGAGACACGGUCCAGACUCCUACGGAGGGCAGCAGUGGGGAAUAUUGCGCAAUGGGCGCAAGCCUGAUGCAGCCAUGCCGCGUGUAUGAAGAAGGCCUUCGGGUUGUAAGGUUCUGUCAGCGAGGAGGCGUUAGCCGCAGAAGAAGCACCGGCUAACUCCGUGCCAGCCGCCGCGGUAAUUC
This 406-nucleotide ribosomal RNA is filed under the name uncultured bacterium. RNAcentral's name for it is "partial 16S ribosomal RNA". It matches the Rfam family "Bacterial small subunit ribosomal RNA", at positions 30 to 526 of the family's 1533-position model. The record is from RNAcentral.